CAGCCGCCGCGGUAAUACGGAGGGUGCAAGCGUUAAUCGGAAUUACUGGGCGUAAAGCGCACGCAGGCGGUCUGUCAAGUCAGAUGUGAAAUCCCCGGGCUUAACCUGGGAACUGCAUUUGAAACUGGCAGGCUAGAGUCUUGUAGAGGGGGGUAGAAUUCCAGGUGUAGCGGUGAAAUGCGUAGAGAUCUGGAGGAAUACCGGUGGCGAAGGCGGCCCCCUGGACAAAGACUGACGCUCAGGUGCGAAAGCGUGGGGAGCAAACAGGAUUAGAUACCCCGGUAGUCCCUGUCUCUUAUAC
RNAcentral lists this ribosomal RNA (301 nucleotides) under uncultured bacterium. RNAcentral's name for it is "partial 16S ribosomal RNA". It matches the Rfam family "Bacterial small subunit ribosomal RNA", at positions 509 to 807 of the family's 1533-position model. The record is from RNAcentral.